CAUGCACGUCUAAGUACUCGCCUUGGUCUAUUUAAAGUGAAACCGCGAAUGGCUCAUUAAAUCAGUUAUGGUUCACUGGACCGUACCACAUCCUACUCGGAUAACUGUGGUAAUUCUAGAGCUAAUACAUGCAACUAGGCCCUGCCCGGCCGCUCCGUCCGUCAAAACGACGGUCGGUCGGAAAGGGCGCCAUUAUCAGCUCAAAACCGACCGGGUCGCCCGCCGUCCUCUGGACGGGCAGGGCUCCCGUUCUCGUUGACCCUUUGACGACUCUGGAUAACCUCCUAGCGGAUCGCCGGUCAAACUUAGGUCGGCCGGGUGUUUCGGCAUCCGCGCCCGACCUAACGGCGACUGGUCUUUCGAAUGUCUGCCUUAUCAACUGUCGACGGUAGGUUAGACGCCUACCGUGGUCGUAACGGGUGACGGGGAAUCAGGGUUCGAUUCCGGAGAGGGAGCCUGAGAAACGGCUACCACAUCCAAGGAAGGCAGCAGGCACGCAAAUUACCCAAUCCCCGAACGGGGAGGUAGUGACGAAAAAUAACGAUACGGGACUCUUAACGAGGCCUCGUAAUCGGAAUGAGUCCGCUCUAAAUCCUUUUAACGAGGAUCUAUCGGAGGGCAAGUCUGGUGCCAGCAGCCGCGGUAAUUCCAGCUCCGAUAGCGUAUAUUAAAGUUGCUGCGGUUAAAAAGCUUGUAGUUGGAUUUGGGUUUUCGGGCCGGCGGGCCGCCGCCUUCGAGNGGCGCGUCUCCCGCCGCGCCCCCGGAACCGCACGGUYGCAGAGGCCCCCGCGGUGCUCUUGAGUGAGUGUCCGCCGGUUCGGGUCGCCGAACGUUUACUUUGAAAAAAUUAGAGUGCUCCAGGCAGGCCGGUAAAGCGUUGUUUAAAAAAGACCCGCGCCUGAAUAGUCACGCAUGGAAUAAUGAAAGAGGACCGGUGGUCCUAUUUUGUUGGUUUUCGGGAUUUUCCGCCGUCAUGAUUAAGAGGGACGGCCGGGGGCAUUCGUACCGCGGCGCGAGAGGUGAAAUUCUAGGACCGCCGCGAGACGAACCGUUGCGAAAGC
Molecule: ribosomal RNA, 1061 nt
Filed under: Kumbadjena extrema
Lineage: Eukaryota; Metazoa; Onychophora; Udeonychophora; Euonychophora; Peripatopsidae
Description: SSU rRNA
Rfam family: Eukaryotic small subunit ribosomal RNA
Source: RNAcentral